GAUCGACUCAGUGGAGGGCCACCGGUCGCGCCCGUCGGUGGACUGGCGCUUCGACUUGUUGA
RNAcentral lists this small RNA (62 nucleotides) under Sinorhizobium meliloti 2011. RNAcentral's name for it is "putative ncRNA". Lineage: Bacteria; Pseudomonadati; Pseudomonadota; Alphaproteobacteria; Hyphomicrobiales; Rhizobiaceae. The record is from RNAcentral.